This 286-nucleotide ribosomal RNA is filed under the name uncultured rumen protozoa. Its description in RNAcentral is "partial 18S ribosomal RNA". It matches the Rfam family "Eukaryotic small subunit ribosomal RNA", at positions 1276 to 1592 of the family's 1831-position model. The record is from RNAcentral.
GGUGGUGCAUGGCCGUUCUUAGUUGGUGGAGUGAUUUGUCUGGUUAAUUCCGAUAACGAACGAGACCUUAACCUGCUAACUAGUUCUCAAUACUCUGUAUUCUGCAACUUCUUAGAGGGACUAUGUAAAUCAAUUACAUGGAAGUUUGAGGCAAUAACAGGUCAGUGAUGCCCUUAUAUGUCCUGGGCUGCACGCGUGCUACACUGAUGCAUACAACAAGUGCCUAGCCAGACAUGGUAUGGCAAUCUCGAAUAUGCAUCGUGAUGGGGAUAGAUCUUUGCAAUUA